UACGUAGGGUGCGAGCGUUGUCCGGAAUUAUUGGGCGUAAAGAGCUCGUAGGCGGUUUGUCGCGUCUAUCGUGAAAACUGGAGGCUUAACUUUCAGCGUGCGGUGGAUACGGGCAGACUUGAGUUCGGUAGGGGAGACUGGAAUUCCUGGUGUAGCGGUGAAAUGCGUUGAUAUUGGAAGGAACGCCGGUGGCGAAAGCGAGCUGCUGGACAUUUUCUGACGCUGAGGAGCGAAAGCGUGGGGAGCGAACAGG
This 253-nucleotide ribosomal RNA is filed under the name uncultured bacterium. RNAcentral's name for it is "partial 16S ribosomal RNA". It matches the Rfam family "Bacterial small subunit ribosomal RNA", at positions 524 to 776 of the family's 1533-position model. The record is from RNAcentral.